Non-coding RNA from Pelobates cultripes (western spadefoot toad), 262 nucleotides. NCBI's taxonomy places the organism in Eukaryota, Metazoa, Chordata, Amphibia, Anura, Pelobatidae. The record is from the annotation of a GenBank genome assembly.
GUUACAAAUAUGGAGAUCUUCCAAAGUAAUUCAUAGAUGGAUAGAUAUCUACCAUUCAGUAGAUAAUAAGUGGCUACAAAAUGCAGAGGCCGUAUGUGGUUAAAUCUUAUCUCAGGGGUACAGAGAAUAUAUCAAGGCGGUGGCCAAUAAUCAUUAAGCUGUAUAUCAAUGUCUAACCCCUAGUGAGACAGAGGAGUAUUAAACACACUAAAUUGAUACAAAAGUAUCAAAGUGUAUCUAUGGGCUGUUCAAUAUAUUCAGG